GUUAGGAAUAUUGGACAAUGGGCGCAAGCCUGAUCCAGCCAUGCCGCGUGAGUGAUGAAGGCCUUCGGGUUGUAAAGCUCUUUAGCCGAUGAUUAUAAUGACUGUAGUCGGAAAAUAAGCCCCGGCUAACUUCGUGCCAGCAGCCGCGGUAAUACGAAGGGGGCGAGCGUUAUUCGGAAUCACUGGGCGUAAAGCGUGCGUAGGCGGCUUUGCAAGUUGGGAGUGAAAGCCCAGGGCUCAACCCUGGAAUUGCUCUCAAAAGUGCAAGGCUGGAAUUCUGGAGAGGAUAGCGGAAUUGUCAGUGUAGCAGUGAAAUGCGUAGAUAUUGACAGGAACACCAGUGGCGUAAGCGGCUAUCUGGACCGAUAUUGACGCUGAGGCACGAAAGCGUGGGGAUCAAACAGGAUUAGAAACCCGUGUAGUCC
RNAcentral lists this ribosomal RNA (425 nucleotides) under uncultured bacterium. Its description in RNAcentral is "partial 16S ribosomal RNA". It matches the Rfam family "Bacterial small subunit ribosomal RNA", at positions 354 to 796 of the family's 1533-position model. The record is from RNAcentral.